AGAUGCAGGCACUAUCUCUUUUCGAAAAUCUUUGGAUUCAACCAACCUCCAAGCUCAAGAAACCCUUCAAUUCCAGGCUUAGAGAGGCAGAAGAUAAUUUAGUAAAAGCACUUGCAGGUUGAGGAAGGU
This is a long non-coding RNA of Solanum tuberosum (potato), 129 nucleotides long. RefSeq lists it as uncharacterized. NCBI's taxonomy places the organism in Eukaryota, Viridiplantae, Streptophyta, Magnoliopsida, Solanales, Solanaceae. The record is from RefSeq and is a predicted model, not a curated record. The transcript has 3 exons.